This is a long non-coding RNA of Manis pentadactyla (Chinese pangolin), 2502 nucleotides long. RefSeq lists it as uncharacterized. The transcript has 6 exons. NCBI's taxonomy places the organism in Eukaryota, Metazoa, Chordata, Mammalia, Pholidota, Manidae. The record is from RefSeq and is a predicted model, not a curated record.
UAGAAUGUGUUCAAACUUAAGCAUCCAUCAGCUUAAUGCAGACUGCUACAUUCAUAGGAUGUAUUAGCUACAUCUCUUGUCCUUGGAAGUAGUGGCCUUCUUUAGAAACCAUCCCGUGGUGCCCAGUAGUCCAAUCCCCCUGGUCACCUGAGUGGGUUCUCCAGGGGUAUCCCCUUUGUGGGCUGUGUGCACCCUCCUAUUGUGGCUGUGCUGUGACUGCUGGCUGCAUGCCUGCUGGUGAACAAGGCUGAUCCUCAGCCUGGCUGUGAGCAAUAACCUGCCACAACUACUGUCGGUGCACUGGUGGGCAGGGUUUGCUCCCAGCACAGUUGGCUGAGUUGCCUGGCUGCCGCUGCGAAGGGUGAGCCACAUGUAUAGUGUCAGUCCUCAGCGUGUCUGUUGGCAAAGACUGGCUGCAGCCCACUGAUGGGCAGGGCCUGCCCCAGCACAUGUGCCUGAGAGGCCCCGCUGGAUCUUCUUCGAGCGUGGUGAUGGGUGGGGCUGGCUUCUCUCCUUCCUAGCAGAGAAGUUGCUCUGGAGGGGUGCCAGUCCCGGCCAGGGCUGGCAGCUGAGUGUGGUAGGGCAGAGUUUGCUCGGGGGGGAAGCAAUCCAGACCAAGCCUGCCUGCCAGGUGUUUAGCAGGAGUCAUUUUGGAGAGGCAUCUGCCAGGGUGGGUGAGUUGGGUGAGCCGUGGAAGGUCCUUUCUGCCAAUAUUCAGGUCCUAUCAGAGUGAGCUGCACUCUACUUAGUUCUUGCCUGCGUGUGUCCAUGGGAAGAGUGCUGAGAAUGUAUAAACAAUAAUUGACAUCGAAAAUAUGAGCAAAGAUUUUUUUCAAAAAGAAAAAGACUCACUUUUGGCAAGGAUGUGAUGAAUCUGGCCUUCCUAGGCCUCUAUGGUGAAAUAUAAUUUAUGUACAUAAUUCUUGAAAACAUUUAAUUAAUUAAAUACUUGAAUACAUCUUCAUGCCACACAGUCAAAGCCAAAACUUGUCUGGACAAAUCUUUGAUUCUUCCUGGGCCAGCAAAAAAAAAAAAAAGCUUAGCAAAAGGAGAGACCCGUGUUCAAUCAUUGGCAUAAUGAGAAGAGGCCUGUUCUCCUACACAACUGUUGAGGCCACACCAUCUACAGGUUGGUCCUAAAUCCAAUGACAAGUAUUCUUAUGAGACAGAAGAGAAGACCUAGAAACAGAGAAAAAGGCCAUGUGGAAAUGGAGGCAGAGAUCGGAGUGAUGCAGCCCCACGAAAUGUUGACAGUCACCAGAAACUGGAAUAGUCAAGAAAGGAUUCUCUUUUGGAGCCUCCAGAUGGAGUGCGGCCCUGAUGAUACCUUGAUUUCAGACUUCUGGCCCCCAGAACUACACCUAUUAUUUGGAUGUUGGAUUUUCCAGAUAGAUCUUUUUCCUCAUCUGGCCACAUCUUCAAAUGUAAGACUUUAUUAUAUGUGAUCACAUAUAACAAGGCUCAAGGACACACUGUUUUAUGGUGAAAAUCAUAUACAUAGAGGGCUUGGGGGCAGCCUGUGUCUCACUGAAUCAAUGGCAGUAUGUGACAAAUACGGUGUAGUGGAAAAGACAGUGAAUUAAAAGGCAGAAAAAUAUCUUCUAGCCUCAGCUGUGCCACUUACUUGUUUAAGGACUAUGGUAGACUGUUUGCAAAGGUAGUUGCUGACAAUUUUUUCCACUGAAACAUAUGUCACCCCCUUUAUGAAAGGGUGGAAUCUAUUUCCCUUUCUUGGAAUCUGGGUUUUAUGACUUUUUGACCAAUGGAAUGUAGUGGAACUGACCUGGCACUUCUAGACCUUGCAGCUCCUACUUUCACUCUUGAAAACCAGCAACUGCCCUGCUGCAGAGGCCUUUUUGGAUCUUCUAGCCUCGUUUGGAACUCCCGAGCCAACGCUGCAUAGACCAGAGGCAAGCUAACCCAACGAACUCCGCCUUUUGCAGAAUCAUGAACAAAUAAAUGGUGGUUGCUGUUUUAAGCCUCUAAGAUUUGGAAGUGGUUUAUCUCCUAGUAAUAGGUAACUGCAACAGAAACUAGUACCUGGAGAUGGAGUGUUGCUGUAACAAAAACCUAACAUAUGUGACACUGACUUUAUUACCAGGCAGUAACCAGAGAGAAGACUAUUAGUGGAGGUUGGAAGAACAGCAAGGCAUAGCCAUGGGAGGUUGGAGAAACUGCAACUUAGGUGACAAAUUGGAAGACUGUUUGACAUUAUUAUUGCCUGUGAUAACAGGAAUGAUAGAAAAUGUGCUUAAUGAACUUGUGGACCCCGCAAAGAUUUCCAGGCAGCAUGCUGAAAGUGCCAAUGUGCUUAUGAUAAAGUACAAGAAGAAAAAAUGCACUACAGAAAUAAUCUUUGGUUUUCAAGCAAAAUCCUAGUCAGUAAAAGAUUUGUAAAGUAAGAAAUGCCCUCAGGGUAAAGAUCAAAUCAUGUGUUGCUGUAAAACUUUUAUUUUUAAGAUUCCAGAAAGAGUUAAUAUGGUACUUUUCUUAUUUAACUUG